UACGUAGGGUGCAAGCGUUGCCCGGAUUUAUUGGGCGUAAAGGGCGCGUAGGCGGCUCUGCACGUCCGUUGUGAAAUCGCCCGGCUCAACUGGGCGGGGUCAGCGGAUACGGCAGAGCUUGAGCAAGCUAGGGGGCAAUGGAAUUCCCGGUGUAGUGGUGGAAUGCGUAGAUAUCGGGAGGAACACCAGUGGCGAAGGCGGUUGCCUGGGGAUUUGCUGACGCUGAUGCGCGAAAGCGUGGGGAGCGAUCCGG
RNAcentral lists this ribosomal RNA (253 nucleotides) under uncultured bacterium. RNAcentral describes it as "partial 16S ribosomal RNA". It matches the Rfam family "Bacterial small subunit ribosomal RNA", at positions 524 to 776 of the family's 1533-position model. The record is from RNAcentral.